RNAcentral lists this ribosomal RNA (468 nucleotides) under uncultured bacterium. RNAcentral's name for it is "partial 16S ribosomal RNA". It matches the Rfam family "Bacterial small subunit ribosomal RNA", at positions 28 to 507 of the family's 1533-position model. The record is from RNAcentral.
GACGAACGCUGGCGGCGUGCUUAACACAUGCAAGUCGAACGGAAAGGCCCUGCUUUUGUGGGGUGCUCGAGUGGCGAACGGGUGAGUAACACGUGAGUAACCUGCCCUUUACUUUGGGAUAACUUCAGGAAACUGGGGCUAAUACCGGAUAUGAGCUCCUGCUGCAUGGUGGGGGUUGGAAAGUUUCGGCGGUUGGGGAUGGACUUGCGGCUUAUCAGCCUGUUGGUGGGGUAGUGGCUUACCAAGGCUUUGACGGGUAGCCGGCCUGAGAGGGUGACCGGCCACAUUGGGACUGAGAUACGGCCCAGACUCCUACGGGAGGCAGCAGUGGGGAAUAGUGCACAAUGGGCGGAAGCCUGAUGGAGCAACGCCGCGUGCGGGAUGACGGCCUUCGGGUUGUAAACCGCUUUCGCCUGUGACGAAGCGUGAGUGACGGUAAUGGGUAAAGAAGCACCGGCUAACUACGUG